GCUUCUAACGUGUUGCCUGCCUUCAGUUUUUUUUUUUCCAAUGAUAUUUGGUAAAUUGCAAUCCUAGUAAAACAUUUCAUGCCAUUUGUUCUCCUAAAGCAACUUUUUCUUUUCUUUUCUUUUCCUUUUUUUUUUUUUUUUUUUCCAUUGGGGGGAGAAACAAACCCCAGCAUGACUUGACUGGAUAAAUACACAUAAUUUAUCAUGAUUACAAAUUUACAUGUUAAUUUGUGUUUCUGAACCAGAGUACAGGUACCAGUUUCUUGGGAACUCUUAAAGUAGCUAUGAAAUUACUGGUUAGCAAACUGAAAGCCCCUGCAAUAAUUACACGUAGCACACCACCCCCAUUUCACCAGUUGACGUCCUAAGGAAUUCGUGUGCCGUUUGCUCCCUCUGCACUGGAGCGGUCACAAUUUUACUGUAAUUGCCAUUUUUACACCAGCAUUUCAGGUAUAGUUCUUAAAACUCCGUGAGCAUGUUAAACAUGUGGAAUACCCUGGACUUCCUUUUGAAAGUCACAUUCCCGGUUCGACAGCGGUCUGGCCUGACUCCACUCCAUCUCCGCACCAGCCCCCCACCCCCACCCCCAACAUCCACGCCAGACCCACAAGGCAGUCCUAUAUUUACAAACACGUUUAAAUUGUCAUUGCAUUCCAUAACUCUCAAUAAUACUUGAGUUUUAUACAUUCACAUGUUUUAAAAGCGCAGUUUGUAGAAGACACUAGGAGAAUUUCAUUCCAUUUGCUGGAUGAUUGCUGCUCUGGCUUUUUAAGACUUGGAAUUAACUUUUAUUUAGAGCAAAGGAAGAAAUCUUUUAAGAGGCUAAAUUCAUGCUGCUAUUAUUGCUGUGAAAUUGUAUAAAGAUUAGGAUUCAUGCCAGUUCUUUUUUUUUUAUUAUUAUUUAAAAGAAAAUCAUGUGAUUGCAUUUUAAGGGUUUAUAUUUAGAAAAAAAAAUAAAGUUUUAAGAACACAGUUAUUUAUAUGUGGAAAUACUCUAUAAGGUUUUCUUUUGUUUACCCAGAGAAAUUCAUUCAAUAAGGAUCAUGGUAGCAGCCCUGACAUACUGACCUGUGGAAGGUCUGGAAAUGUCUCUACAUUACAUAUGCAGACCCAGUGGGAAUAGAAUCACAGUGUUAGGGAACCUGAUAGGAUCCUUCACACAAACACAUCAAGUGCUAUAUACAGGAGUUUGAUCUUUGGCGAAUAUGCAGCACUAACUUUUUUUUUUUUUUUUAACCUUAACCAUCUUUGUGUCACGUAGGCAACCCAUCGCCCCUCUGAGAUCACACAAGCCCUGUAAGUUCUCACCAGCAGCAUGGAGUGUAGGAAGGAGCCAGUAUGACGAGGAGGUACAGAAGGAGUUAGGAACUGGGAUCCCAGAAGGAAGCGGCUGAAGGAGUCCUGUCUAAUUUUAAUAUUUGUGGAUUUGUUGUCACACACAUUGUUUACUCCUGAACCUAAGUCUCUUUUAUGAAGACGGAGGUUAAUUCCUCAGAACCAGUACUUUAUUAAUGUCCUGUGGGCUUAGAAAUAUCAGGUGGAUAUUUUGAAUACAGAAUAACAACUCAAAUUUACUGGUAUAAUCGUGAAACACCGGCUUUAGGUAAAAUCUAGAGUUGUUCCAUUUAAUGUACGUAGUGACAGCCUUAACUUUGGAUUCAGUUUUUUUGAGGGACUUUGCCUGUAUCUUUCCCUUUCUAAUACUGUAGGGUAGAAACCUUGUGGCAGGUUACUGUGAGCCAGGCUAACUCAGCACAGUUCACAUGGUGUGUGACUUCGCAAACAGUUAACAGUUCAAAUUUUGACAUGGAGCAUUAUGAUCAAGGAAAUGGAGCUGCCUUAUGCAUUAGACCCAUAAUUUAAUUCUAUUGGUAUUUUCAUAGCUGUGUCUCCAGAUUGUAUCUUUUUGGCAAAAUUCUGAUGUCACAGUUUGGUUUGAUUGAAACAAAUACUCCCUGGAUGUCUGGCCAGAGACUUUGCUAACAGCCCCAGAGGUGCCACUUUCUUACUAAUUUCAUCUGAGCCUUAUUGCUUUAAUGUAUUCAGUUUGCUUUUAAAGACGCAAAUCCCCAGGAUGGUCCCACCAAUAGGGCCUGCACAUUUUUAGAAUGGCAAAGCAUUUUUUAAAAGUUAGGGUCAGGUUGAAAACUUCUAAGACGACUCUGUUAAAGAGGGACCGUCAGAUUGGGAAUGGAGAUAGAAGGGUAGGUAACCACAUUUGAAGUGGCAAUAGAUGCAUACGAUGUAAAUUGGAAAUUUGCCCCUUGAGUGAUAAAAGGAGCCUGCAGGGUCCAUAUAUCUGUUCCCCGCUUUGUUUGUCAAUCAUCCUUCAUUAUGUUGGCAAAGUAUCAUCUGAGCAAUGUGUGUAAGGAAAUUAUAAUGAAAGCAAAAGUAUGUCAGAAAAGUUACUUCCAAAUGGUUAGAGGCAUGUGAUUUUCAGUACUGUGUGUUACGGAAACGUCAGGAAUGGUAUAUUUUAAUGUCAGUGUGCACAGAGGGUCUUUUUUCCUUUUCUGAUUAGUAACUGUUAGUGUUCAAAGAAUAAAAAUGGUUGUUUUACAGUUUAGAUUCUAAGGUAGCAAAACCUGAUUUUUCAGCCAUGACCUGCAUGAGAGAAGCAUCCUAGGAAGUCUUAGAUCAUACCUUUGAGUUCUUAACUUUAAUUUAUAUAGUGUUUUUUUUAUGUUUUAAUAUUUUUGUGAACUGGUGUAAAUUGUUAAUGCAUAUAAGCUUGUGUAUUUUUGUAAAUAGUUUUGUGAUUUAUUUCUUGACCCAUAUGUAAAUAUUUAGAGUCUCAUUUCUUCAAAACUUAUUUGAAGCUGAGUUGUGGGCUUGGGGUUUUGUUUGUUUCUUUGUUUUGGUUGGGGGAGGGGGGAGAGCAGAGAUUUUGUACUCCAAUAAUCCAGAUGGAGAUAUCUUGUGGUUUAAAGCAAAUGUCCCACUGAAAGCAAUUCAAAUAUCAACAAAAUUAUUUCAGGUUAAAACAGA
This 2988-nucleotide long non-coding RNA is filed under the name Canis lupus familiaris (dog). RNAcentral's name for it is "lncRNA (ENSCAFG00845008174.1)". The record is from RNAcentral. Lineage: Eukaryota; Metazoa; Chordata; Mammalia; Carnivora; Canidae.